CCUACGGGGGGCUGCAGUCGAGAAUCUUCGGCAAUGGGCGAAAGCCUGACCGAGCGACGCCGCGUGUGGGAUGAAGGCCUUCGGGUUGUAAACCGCUGUCAGAGGGGAGGCCUAUCCUCAGAGGAAGUACGGGCUAAGUUCGUGCCAGCAGCCGCGGUAAGACGAACCGUACGAACGUUAUUCGGAAUCACUGGGCUUAAAGGGUGCGUAGGCGGCGCUAAAAGUUGGGUGUGAAAUCCCUCGGCUUAACCGAGGAACUGCGCCCAAAACUGUAGUGCUUGAGGGAGAUAGAGGUGAGCGGAACUUAGGGUGGAGCGGUGAAAUGCGUUGAUAUCCUAAGGAACGCCAGGGGCGAAAGCGGCUCACUGGCUCUUCUGACGCUGAGGCACGAAAGCUAGGGUAGCGAACGGGAUUAGAUACCCUUGUAGUC
Molecule: ribosomal RNA, 430 nt
Filed under: uncultured bacterium
Lineage: Bacteria
Description: partial 16S ribosomal RNA
Rfam family: Bacterial small subunit ribosomal RNA
Source: RNAcentral